GAUGAAGAACGCAGCAAAAUGCGAUAAGUAAUGUGAAUUGCAGAAUUCAGUGAAUCAUCGAAUCUUUGAACGCACAUUGCGCCCGCCAGUAUUCUGGCGGGCAUGCCUGUUCGAGCGUCAUUUCAACCCUCAAGCUCAGCUUGGUGUUGGGACUCGCGGUAACCCGCGUUCCCCAAAUCGAUUGGCGGUCACGUCGAGCUUCCAUAGCGUAGUAAUCAUACACCUCGUUACUGGUAAUCGUCGCGGCCACGCCGUAAAACCCCAACUUCUGAAUGUUGACCUCGGAUCAGGUAGGAAUACCCGCUGAACUUAAGCAUAUCAUAAGCGGAGGA
Molecule: unclassified non-coding RNA, 332 nt
Filed under: soil metagenome
Description: partial contains 5.8S ribosomal RNA, internal transcribed spacer 2, and large subunit ribosomal RNA
Rfam family: 5.8S ribosomal RNA (bases 1-120)
Source: RNAcentral